RNAcentral lists this ribosomal RNA (1121 nucleotides) under Lactococcus lactis. Its description in RNAcentral is "bacterial SSU rRNA". It matches the Rfam family "Bacterial small subunit ribosomal RNA", at positions 41 to 1155 of the family's 1533-position model. The record is from RNAcentral. Lineage: Bacteria; Bacillati; Bacillota; Bacilli; Lactobacillales; Streptococcaceae.
GGCGGGUGCUAAUACAUGCAAGUUGAGCGCUGAAGGUUGGUACUUGUACCGACUGGAUGAGCAGCGAACGGGUGAGUAACGCGUGGGGAAUCUGCCUUUGAGCGGGGGACAACAUUUGGAAACGAAUGCUAAUACCGCAUAAAAACUUUAAACACAAGUUUUAAGUUUGAAAGAUGCAAUUGCAUCACUCAAAGAUGAUCCCGCGUUGUAUUAGCUAGUUGGUGAGGUAAAGGCUCACCAAGGCGAUGAUACAUAGCCGACCUGAGAGGGUGAUCGGCCACAUUGGGACUGAGACACGGCCCAAACUCCUACGGGAGGCAGCAGUAGGGAAUCUUCGGCAAUGGACGAAAGUCUGACCGAGCAACGCCGCGUGAGUGAAGAAGGUUUUCGGAUCGUAAAACUCUGUUGGUAGAGAAGAACGUUGGUGAGAGUGGAAAGCUCAUCAAGUGACGGUAACUACCCAGAAAGGGACGGCUAACUACGUGCCAGCAGCCGCGGUAAUACGUAGGUCCCGAGCGUUGUCCGGAUUUAUUGGGCGUAAAGCGAGCGCAGGUGGUUUAUUAAGUCUGGUGUAAAAGGCAGUGGCUCAACCAUUGUAUGCAUUGGAAACUGGUAGACUUGAGUGCAGGAGAGGAGAGUGGAAUUCCAUGUGUAGCGGUGAAAUGCGUAGAUAUAUGGAGGAACACCGGUGGCGAAAGCGGCUCUCUGGCCUGUAACUGACACUGAGGCUCGAAAGCGUGGGGAGCAAACAGGAUUAGAUACCCUGGUAGUCCACGCCGUAAACGAUGAGUGCUAGAUGUAGGGAGCUAUAAGUUCUCUGUAUCGCAGCUAACGCAAUAAGCACUCCGCCUGGGGAGUACGACCGCAAGGUUGAAACUCAAAGGAAUUGACGGGGGCCCGCACAAGCGGUGGAGCAUGUGUUUAAUUCGAAGCACCGCGAAGAACCUUACCAGGUCUUGACAUACUCGUGCUAUUCUAGAAGAUAGAAGUUCUUCGGGACACGGGAUACAGGUGGUGCAUGUUGUCGUCCAGCUCGUGUCUGGGAAUGUGGGUAAGUCCCGCACGAGCGCCACCCCUAUGUUAGUGCAUACAUAAGUGGCACCUCUCACAGGAACUGCCGG